This is a long non-coding RNA of Vespula vulgaris, 1152 nucleotides long. RefSeq lists it as uncharacterized. The record is from RefSeq and is a predicted model, not a curated record. The transcript is spliced from 3 exons. Lineage: Eukaryota; Metazoa; Arthropoda; Insecta; Hymenoptera; Vespidae.
GAGAGAGAGAGAGAAAUAGAGAGAGAAAUAGAGAGAGAGAAAGAGAAAUAGUGAGAGAGGAGGGUAAAGAGGGAGGGUAGGAGAAGAGGGCCGAUCGGCCAACAGCCGCAUCUCCUCUCUCAAGAAAUAAGAAAGAAAGAAAGAAAGAGAGACAGACAGAGAAAAAGAGAAAGAAGAGAGAGAGAGAAAGAGAGAGAGAGAGAGAAAGAGAGAGAGAGAGAAUACCGAUCUCGCGUGUCGCAGAGUUACGCGGAAACGCGUCUAUACUCGUCCAUGGUGUUCCAACACGAAGGGAAAGUCUACUUUGAAAAAUCAAGUCGUAGUGCAUCGACGAUAAGGCUAACAUAAAUUGUACACGGAAACCUCAGGCUUAGAGAGAAAACGAUGGCUUUCGUGUUCGUCCAUGUAACCACGUGUGAAUUAUAUCCGUUCGUCGAUGAAAAAUAAAAAGGAGAAAAAAGAAAAAAUUAAAAUGGAGAGAGAGGAAGGGAGGGAGGAAUAGGAGGAAGAAGGAGAAGGAAGAAGAAGUUGAUGAUGAUGAGGAUGAUGAUGAUGAUGACGAUGAGUCGAAGGAUAUAUCUCAAAAAAAAAGAAAUAAAGAAAAAGAGAAAAAAAAGGAGAAGAAAAGAAUAAAAAGAAAAAGAUCAACAAGGAACACGCUCGUGAUCCUCACGUAGGAUCUAUUUCGAUAGAUGAAUUGGAAAGGGUUAGAAGGGUGGUCGAUGAUUGUGGAUCAUUACACGUGCUGUCAUCUAUCCAAGAAGUCGUCAAGUUUCUUUUCCCUGGACCGAAGCAGUCAGUACAAUCUAUCCAAAUUCUUUCAAAACUGUUUGAACGAUUUUGAUCGUACGUCGAUAAGUUCUAAUUCAUUCAUUCAAAAACUUUCUAAUGACUAAAACAAGGGAUGCAAAUUCUAUUUGACCGAUGAAAAACUUAGGUCGAUCAAACAGAAUUUACAUCCCUUGUUUUUAUCUAAAGAAUAAUCCUUUUUACUCGAUCGAUAAGGAAGAAUAUCUGUCACAAAAUUUUCGAAGUUCUCUCUUACGGUUUGCGAAUAAUUUUCAAUGGAUAACGUUUAAGAUAAUAUCGUAUAAACAAAGCAAAUUUAAUAAAAACUAGAAAUAUAUCUCGAUUUAAUGCCAUCUGCAAUCG